GGAGCUAAUACCGGAUAAUAUUUUGAACCGCAUGGUUCAAAAGUGAAAGACGGUCUUGCUGUCACUUAUAGAUGGAUUCGCGCUGCAUUAGCUAGUUGGUAAGGUAACGGCUUACCAAGGCAACGAUGCAUAGCCGACCUGAGAGGGUGAUCGGCCACACUGGAACUGAGACACGGUCCAG
RNAcentral lists this ribosomal RNA (181 nucleotides) under uncultured Staphylococcus sp. Its description in RNAcentral is "partial 16S ribosomal RNA". It matches the Rfam family "Bacterial small subunit ribosomal RNA", at positions 159 to 334 of the family's 1533-position model. The record is from RNAcentral. Lineage: Bacteria; Bacillati; Bacillota; Bacilli; Caryophanales; Staphylococcaceae.